RNAcentral lists this small RNA (77 nucleotides) under Xanthomonas populi. RNAcentral describes it as "sX9 sRNA". It matches the Rfam family "Xanthomonas sRNA sX9". Lineage: Bacteria; Pseudomonadati; Pseudomonadota; Gammaproteobacteria; Lysobacterales; Lysobacteraceae. The record is from RNAcentral.
AUGUACCACUCGUACACUCCGGUUCUGAGCGCGCCGUCCGCACCCACCUGACGACUGCUCGCUACGUUUUGUUAGCC